Long non-coding RNA from Saccostrea cuccullata (small rock oyster), 773 nucleotides. RefSeq lists it as uncharacterized. The transcript has 3 exons. NCBI's taxonomy places the organism in Eukaryota, Metazoa, Mollusca, Bivalvia, Ostreida, Ostreidae. The record is from RefSeq and is a predicted model, not a curated record.
UAAGAAACACUUAAUGUCAACAAGAUUUUCUGAUUGACAAGAGAAAAGGUUAAACAGGAACUUCAAUUGUGAACAUUGCAGAGAACACACCCAUCAGAAGAUGACCCUCAGAAAUAGGACAAUUGAUGAAUAAAAUGGACAGAGGCAGAACUGAAGGAGAUGCAUGAAAUGAGGAAUAUUUCAAAGAUUGCCUGAGCAUAACCACUGCUACUGGAUAAACAUAUGGCAAUAUAAAACAGCAGGGUCAAUGGAGGUAUCAUACAGUAUAGGCCAUGAGAGACCCUGUAGAAGAAAGUAUUGAACAGAAACAAAAAUAAAACCAUUUUGACAUUUAUUGAAAUAUAGGAUCAAAUUAAAGUCUUACAUGUAAAAUUUGGGCAUGUAUUGACUUUUCUCUAGCUCUAAGACUUAUAACAGUGAUGAUUUAAUUUAAUAUCUUUAUCCCGAUUUGUCGAAAAGAUUUGGACAUAGUGCAUCAAUUAUUUUAAAGUUUUGAUACAACGAAUUCAUUCAUUGUACUUGUAACUGAGUUUUCUGGUGCGACACUGUUUUAUCGGCUUCAAAACUAAGUUUGUGAUUUCCAAACCAGAUUAAUGAGAUCAUUUAAUAUCUUUUAACAUCGGUGACUAUUUAAUCCAUUCUUUUACAUCUCAGAAGUAUAUUAUUAUUACAGGGGAAAUAUGCAUUGUACAUGUAUCUGUAAUAAACAGGAUUAUAGAAAUUUUCCAUAUAAUACAACACAAUCUUGGCAACUGAAGGCAAAUAUUUUAUCA